Molecule: ribosomal RNA, 1422 nt
Filed under: uncultured organism
Description: 16S ribosomal RNA
Rfam family: Bacterial small subunit ribosomal RNA
Source: RNAcentral
GAUGAACGCUAGCUACAGGCUUAACACAUGCAAGUCGAGGGGCAGCAUGGUCUUAGCUUGCUAAGGCCGAUGGCGACCGGCGCACGGGUGAGUAACACGUAUCCAACCUGCCGUCUACUCUUGGACAGCCUUCUGAAAGGAAGAUUAAUACAAGAUGGCAUCAUGAGUCCGCAUUUUCGCAUGAUUAAAGGUUUACCGGUGUAAGAUGGGGAUGCGUUCCAUUAGAUAGUAGGCGGGGUAACGGCCCACUCAGUCUUCGAUGGAUAGGGGUUCUGAGAGGAAGGUCCCCCACAUUGGAACUGAGACACGGUCCAAACUCCUACGGGAGGCAGCAGUGAGGAAUAUUGGUCAAUGGACGAGAGUCUGAACCAGCCAAGUAGCGUGAAGGAUGAAGGUUCUAUGGAUUGUAAACUUCUUUUAUACGGGAAUAAACGAAUCCACGUGUGGAUUUUUGCAUGUACCGUAUGAAUAAGGAUCGGCUAACUCCGUGCCAGCAGCCGCGGUAAUACGGAGGAUCCGAGCGUUAUCCGGAUUUAUUGGGUUUAAAGGGAGCGUAGAUGGGUUGUUAAGUCAGUUGUGAAAGUUUGCGGCUCAACCGUAAAAUUGCAAUUGAUACUGGCAGUCUUGAGUACAGUUGAGGUAGGCGGAAUUCGUGGUGUAGCGGUGAAAUGCUUAGAUAUCACGAAGAACUCCGAUUGCGAAGGCAGCUUACUAACCUGUAACUGACAUUGAUGCUCGAAAGUGUGGGUAUCAAACAGGAUUAGAUACCCUGGUAGUCCACACGGUAAACGAUGAAUACUCGCUGUAGGCGAUAUACAGUCUGCGGCCAAGCGAAAGCAUUAAGUAUUCCACCUGGGGAGUACGCCGGCAACGGUGAAACUCAAAGGAAUUGACGGGGGCCCGCACAAGCGGAGGAACAUGUGGUUUAAUUCGAUGAUACGCGAGGAACCUUACCCGGGCUUAAAUUGCAACCGAAUAUGGCGGAAACGCUAUAGCUAGCAAUAGCGGUUGUGAAGGUGCUGCAUGGUUGUCGUCAGCUCGUGCCGUGAGGUGUCGGCUUAAGUGCCAUAACGAGCGCAACCCUUGCCGAUAGUUACUAACAGGUCAUGCUGAGGACUCUGUCGGGACUGCCAUCGUAAGAUGUGAGGAAGGUGGGGAUGACGUCAAAUCAGCACGGCCCUUACGUCCGGGGCUACACACGUGUUACAAUGGGGGGUACAGAGGGCUGCUACCACGCAAGUGGAUGCCAAUCCCAAAAACCUCUCUCAGUUCGGAUUGAAGUCUGCAACCCGACUUCAUGAAGCUGGAUUCGCUAGUAAUCGCGCAUCAGCCACGGCGCGGUGAAUACGUUCCCGGGCCUUGUACACACCGCCCGUCAAGCCAUGGGAGCCGGGGGUACCAGAAGUGCGUAACCGCAAGGAG